This 544-nucleotide ribosomal RNA is filed under the name uncultured bacterium. Its description in RNAcentral is "partial 16S ribosomal RNA". It matches the Rfam family "Bacterial small subunit ribosomal RNA", at positions 357 to 914 of the family's 1533-position model. The record is from RNAcentral.
GGGAAUAUUGCACAAUGGGCGAAAGCCUGAUGCAGCAACGCCGCGUGAGUGAUGAAGGUCUUCGGAUUGUAAAGCUCUGUCUUUUGGGACGAUAAUGACGGUACCAAAGGAGGAAGCCACGGCUAACUACGUGCCAGCAGCCGCGGUAAUACGUAGGUGGCGAGCGUUGUCCGGAUUUACUGGGCGUAAAGGGUGCGUAGGCGGAUGUUUAAGUGAGAUGUGAAAUACCCGGGCUUAACUUGGGUGCUGCAUUUCAAACUGGAUAUCUAGAGUGCAGGAGAGGAGAAUGGAAUUCCUAGUGUAGCGGUGAAAUGCGUAGAGAUUAGGAAGAACACCAGUGGCGAAGGCGAUUCUCUGGACUGUAACUGACGCUGAGGCACGAAAGCGUGGGUAGCAAACAGGAUUAGAUACCCUGGUAGUCCACGCCGUAAACGAUGAGUACUAGGUGUAGGAGGUAUCGACCCCUUCUGUGCCGCAGUAAACACAUUAAGUACUCCGCCUGGGGAAGUACGAUCGCAAGAUUAAAACUCUAAAGUGAAUUGAC